This 87-nucleotide transfer RNA is filed under the name Actinomycetes bacterium. RNAcentral describes it as "tRNA-Leu". It matches the Rfam family "tRNA". Rfam says of the family: Transfer RNA (tRNA) molecules are approximately 80 nucleotides in length. Their secondary structure includes four short double-helical elements and three loops (D, anti-codon, and T loops). Lineage: Bacteria; Bacillati; Actinomycetota; Actinomycetes. The record is from RNAcentral.
GUCGGAGUGGCGGAACGGCAGACGCGCCAGGUUGAGGGCCUGGUGCCCCGAAGGGGCGUGAGGGUUCAAAUCCCUCCUCCGACACCA